GGGGGGGGGGGGGGGGGGGGCGGGCGGGGGGGGGGCGGGGGGGCCGGGCGGGGGGGGGGGCGGACGGGUGGGUGCCCCGUGGGAGCGUGCCGUUAGGGUCGGGAUAACGCAGGGAAACGUGUGCUACUACCGAGUGGGCCCUUCGGGGGCAAGAGUAAUCGCCUUUACAGCGGCCCGCGUCUGCUUCGCUAGUUGGUUGCGGUAAUGGCUCACCAAGGCGACGAACAGUAGCUGGUCUGAGAGGAUGAUCAGCCACAGUGGGACUGAGACACGGCCCAAACUCCUACGGGAGGCAGCAGUGGGGAAUCUUGCGCAAUGGGCGAAAGCCUGACGCAGCCAUGCCGCGUGAAUGAGGAAGGUCUUAGGAUUGGAAAAUUCUUUCACCGGGGACGAUAAUGACGGUACCCGGAGAAGAAGCCCCGGCUAACUUCGUG
This 434-nucleotide ribosomal RNA is filed under the name uncultured bacterium. RNAcentral describes it as "partial 16S ribosomal RNA". It matches the Rfam family "Bacterial small subunit ribosomal RNA", at positions 38 to 507 of the family's 1533-position model. The record is from RNAcentral.